RNAcentral lists this long non-coding RNA (239 nucleotides) under Gossypium barbadense (sea-island cotton). RNAcentral's name for it is "long non-coding RNA (GBAR_LNC014908)". Lineage: Eukaryota; Viridiplantae; Streptophyta; Magnoliopsida; Malvales; Malvaceae. The record is from RNAcentral.
CAACUACCGUCAUGGCUUCCGACAGCUUUUGGACACCUCUUUGUUCCACCUCCUGUCUGACCCACGGCUUCAAUCCCUUUUGAAAAGCAAGCAAUGCUUCUUCAUCGGUCACAUCUGAAACUUGGAGCAUGAGUUCCUUGAACUCUUGAACAUACUCCCCCACUGUGCCCCGUUGCAUUAUCCCUUGUAACUUUGCCCGAGCUUCUUCCUCGGCAAAUUCUAGGUAAAACUGUCCCUUC